GAUGAACGCUGGCGGCGUGCUUAACACAUGCAAGUCGAACGGUGAAGCCAAGCUUGCUUGGUGGAUCAGUGGCGAACGGGUGAGUAACACGUGAGCAAUCUGCCCUUGACUCUGGGAUAAGCGCUGGAAACGGCGUCUAAUACUGGAUAUGAGCUGUGGCCGCAUGGGUGGCAGUUGGAAAGAAUUUCGGUCAAGGAUGAGCUCGCGGCCUAUCAGCUUGUUGGUGAGGUAAUGGCUCACCAAGGCGUCGACGGGUAGCCGGCCUGAGAGGGUGACCGGCCACACUGGGACUGAGACACGGCCCAGACUCCUACGGGAGGCAGCAGUGGGGAAUAUUGCACAAUGGGCGCAAGCCUGAUGCAGCAACGCCGCGUGAGGGACGACGGCCUUCGGGUUGUAAACCUCUUUUAGCAGGGAAGAAGCGAAAGUGACGGUACCUGCAGAAAAAGCACCGGCUAACUACGUGCCAGCAGCCGCCGUAA
This 482-nucleotide ribosomal RNA is filed under the name uncultured bacterium. Its description in RNAcentral is "partial 16S ribosomal RNA". It matches the Rfam family "Bacterial small subunit ribosomal RNA", at positions 28 to 523 of the family's 1533-position model. The record is from RNAcentral.